GGUGGGCUGGCCUGGCCCCUUCUCUGCCCCGGUCGGUCGCGACCAUGGUAUUCCUGGCGGGCCUUGGGCCAGAAUCGGGCGAGUCACAAGCAAUUGGCUCUGGUUCCCAUUCUGCUAUCCGGAUCUGACGUACUAUAGCUACGGCUGUCCUGAGGACCCCCUGGAGGUGGGGUCUGCUCACCCCGGGCCCUAUCCCAGGAUCCAGGAAAGAGAGAUUGAGCCAGAGCUGGGCGAAGGGCUCCCACAGAGUCUUAACCACACCAGCAUCCUAUUCUCCGAGCAGCCGUACCACUUCCCUGGGGGUGAAUUGCCCCAUGGAGAGUCUCCAGCACCCUCAUCCUCCGGUGGCCAGGUGUCGGAGCUGAAAAGCCUGGGGAAGGCCAGGAAAGAGGAUGUAUGACCUCUUGGUUUUUCACUUCUCACCUCCAUCUGCUCUUCAGCUCCCAGCUGCCUGGGAUGAGGCCCAGGGAAGUGACUUGCCCAAAGUCACAUCGCUGACAAGUGGCAGAAGCGGAAUGAGAACCCAAGACCCGUGACUCCCAAGCCCAGGCUCUUUCCACCAAGCCACGCUGCCUCUCCGUUGGAAUGAACAGUCUCUCUUGGUUGCUGCACUGUAGUUUCCAAACGCUCGGUAGAGCGCUCUGCACACAGUAAGCGCUCCAUAAAUACGUUGGAAUGAAUGGUCUCUCUUUGAUGCGGCAUUGUAGUUUCCAAGCGCUCGGUACAGUGCUCUGCACAGAGUAAGCGCACAAUAAAUACUUUUGAAUGAAUGAAUGGCCUCUGUUGCCGCACUGUAGUUUCCAAACGCUCGGUAGAGCGCUCUGCACACAGUACGCGCUCCAUAAAUACGACUGAAUGAAUGAACGGCCUC
This is a long non-coding RNA of Ornithorhynchus anatinus (platypus), 871 nucleotides long. RefSeq lists it as uncharacterized. Lineage: Eukaryota; Metazoa; Chordata; Mammalia; Monotremata; Ornithorhynchidae. The transcript has 3 exons. The record is from RefSeq and is a predicted model, not a curated record.